This 253-nucleotide ribosomal RNA is filed under the name uncultured bacterium. RNAcentral describes it as "partial 16S ribosomal RNA". It matches the Rfam family "Bacterial small subunit ribosomal RNA", at positions 524 to 776 of the family's 1533-position model. The record is from RNAcentral.
UACGUAGGGUGCAAGCGUUGUCCGGAAUCAUUGGGCGUAAAGAGCUCGUAGGCGGUCUGUCGCGUCUGCUGUGAAAACCUGGGGCUUAACCCUGGGCUUGCAGUGGGUACGGGCAGACUAGAGUGCGGUAGGGGAGACUGGAAUUCCUGGUGUAGCGGUGAAAUGCGCAGAUAUCAGGAGGAACACCGAUGGCGAAGGCAGGUCUCUGGGCAUUAACUGACGCUGAGGAGCGAAAGCAUGGGGAGCGAACAGG